ACGAACGCUGGCGGCGUGCUUAACACAUGCAAGUCGAACGAAGAGCGAUGGAAGCUUGCUUCUAUCAAUCUUAGUGGCGAACGGGUGAGUAACGCGUAAUCAACCUGCCCUUCAGAGGGGGACAACAGUUGGAAACGACUGCUAAUACCGCAUACGAUCUAACCUCGGCAUCGAGGAAAGAUGAAAGGUGGCCUCUAUGUAUAAGCUAUCACUGAAGGAGGGGAUUGCGUCUGAUUAGCUAGUUGGAGGGGUAACGGCCCACCAAGGCGAUGAUCAGUAGCCGGUCUGAGAGGAUGAACGGCCACAUUGGGACUGAGACACGGCCCAGACUCCUACGGGAGGCAGCAGUGGGGAAUCUUCCGCAAUGGACGAAAGUCUGACGGAGCAACGCCGCGUGAGUGAUGACGGCCUUCGGGUUGUAAAGCUCUGUUAAUCGGGACGAAAGGCCUUCUUGCGAAUAGUGAGAAGGAUCGACGGUACCGGAAUAGAAAGCCACGGCUAACUACGUG
RNAcentral lists this ribosomal RNA (509 nucleotides) under uncultured bacterium. RNAcentral describes it as "partial 16S ribosomal RNA". It matches the Rfam family "Bacterial small subunit ribosomal RNA", at positions 29 to 507 of the family's 1533-position model. The record is from RNAcentral.